CCGAUUCACUCUCCCCUCUCCCUCCCGCUACUCCAGCUUAGUCUCUCCAUUGAAAGGCGCCUCCCUUGCUGUACAGCCACUCCAGCUCCGUCACUCCAUUAACCCAAGUCCCUGGUCGUCCAGAUUUGCGUCCCUCGCCCUCUCCCCACGCGGUUAUUUCUACCGAAGUCGAGCCGCGCUUCGUGAGGGCAGAGUCACCAGAGAGUUUGGAGUAGACCUCAUCUGUAGCGGGGUUCCGACAACCGCCUCUUCUCUCACCGGGCCGCUGCACGUACCAACCGGCGACCGACAGAGUAGAGUUGCACGUACCGACCGGACGUCCGGCAGCCUACUCGGUAGCUGGCUGGUAAGUGCAACGGCCCUAGGAAACGCAUGCUCGGAAGGGUGAGUGGGGACGCACCGGAUCUCGCAUCAGUGUGAGGUAUACUACUUGCUUUCUUCAUGCUCUGAAUCCAACUACUUCAGUUUCGUAUAAUUGCGAGUAGAUCAGUUGCAUGCGCGUCUUUAGCGCCCGUUGUUGGUGAUCCGUCCUAGUAGUAUUUCCUUCUCUUCCAGGAGUAGAUACGGUCGGGGUAGGUUGUUCAGCUAGGGUGUGCAUAUUAUGAAGAUGCAAACUGUCGGUCACCCAACAUAGGUUUUCUUCAGUUCUACACGAAUCACUCGUCUGCUUUGAUCCUUGGUCGUUAAAUCUAGUAAUCUCCAAGAAAACCGUGUGCGCCGAUUAAUUCUACGGCUUGCCUGGCCGAUGCGCGCAUCUUAAUUAGUAUGAUGUACAUGGGAAUUGCUGCAUCCACAUCCACGAUAGAUUUUAGAGAGCUCAUUUUUGUCGUAUGAGCUACUCCCACUGUUUUCUCUACCCUUCUACAGAGUAGAUCUAUAAUUAGAUGCAUUUUGUACGUCUGUAUGCUAAUUCUUGGCUAUCCAUGAUGGAUUACAGUGCUAAUCUGAUCCUGCAAUCCACUUCAAGUCACCAAAAGCUUCCUAUGUUGUGUUCCUCUUUAGGACUGCUCUACCCCUAGGUAGAUAUGUAUUAGACACGCCUUGAUGUGAGAAAGAAAUGAAGAUGGCAUUGUUAUUUAUUUACCUAUCACCACCGUUUCUGUUUGUGCCUUUUGGUAUGUAUGUGGAGAUCUUAAGUCUGAAAUAUUAUGUUUUUCUUCUAGGUUAACUAGCAC
Molecule: long non-coding RNA, 1175 nt
Filed under: Hordeum vulgare
Lineage: Eukaryota; Viridiplantae; Streptophyta; Magnoliopsida; Poales; Poaceae
Description: long non-coding RNA (HVUL_LNC006685)
Source: RNAcentral